UUAGGGUUGAGAGGCGUCUGGUUGGAUUUCAACUAGCUGGUUGGAGAGCUUCAGGGGUAAAAUGGGAGAGCUGUUGGUUCUUCGAUGUCUACAUCUGGAGGCUUUUACUGUUUUACACAGCCAUAGUUCACCGACUUCAGUUUUGGCUUCCAUUCUUCACCGACUUCCUUGCCUUCUUCUCUUUCGAUUCGAAGAUCAAUUUCCAUCUAAACUCAUCUCCGUUUGCUGCUCGCCUGGCCUUGGCCUCUGAUCAGGUGAUUUUAUCAUUAAGAUGCCAAUGUUGACUGCUCCAAGUACAAUUGUUAGCUCGCCUCUAUUGCCAACAGAUUUUGAAAUGAGGUGCUCACUUUCUGACUCACUUGGGUUCUAUCAGGAAGGGGAUUGAAUCUCACAGAUUAGCUCAGCUGCACCCAGAAAACUAUCUGAGAAGAUAAUCUGCAGAGCAGGGGACUUGCAAUCUACUGAGAAAAGGUUGGGAGCUGCUUUUGGAGCCUCAUUUAUUUGGCCUGCGAGCUUGAUUUACUUCUCCAGGUCAAGAUCUCCAUCAAAGAGAAGAAAAGUCAUGAAGAAAUUGCAAAACAAAACCUGCCCAAUUAAACAGCAUGCUACUCAAAACUAUCCAAAUUUUGCUAUUUUGAUAACUGCUUCCCACUAUUAACAUCUCAAUGUAUAUCAAACAUGCCUACUAUUUUAACAUAACAACACAAGCAGCCUGUAAAAUAUGUUAUUACUUUCUUUUUUAGCAACUUAUACUUCCUUAGUUAAGCAUAAUGCUACAAAUUAAAUCUCAUUGUAUAUAUAAACAAUCUUAUUUUGUCUACGUAAUUUCAAAACCCGCAGCAUCGUGCGGGCUUUUUUUCUA
Prunus persica (peach) is the source of this 862-nucleotide RNA transcript. RefSeq lists it as uncharacterized. The transcript has 7 exons. The record is from RefSeq and is a predicted model, not a curated record. NCBI's taxonomy places the organism in Eukaryota, Viridiplantae, Streptophyta, Magnoliopsida, Rosales, Rosaceae.